GAUCCAUGUUGAGGUGAGACACGUCUGAUUGGACUAGAUCCAUGAUGAGGUGAGACACGUCUGAUUGGACUAGAUCCAUGAUGAGGUGAGACACGUCUGAUUGGACUAGAUCCAUGUUGAGGUGAGACACGUCUGAUUGGACUAGAUCCAUGUUGAGGUGAGACACGUCUGAUUGGACUAGAUCCAUGUUGAGGUGAGACAUGUCUGAUUGGACUAGAUCCAUGUUGAGGUGAGACACGUCUGAUUGGACUAGAUCCAUGUUGAGGUGAGACCUGUCUGAUUGGACUAGAUCCAUGUUGAGGUGAGGCCAUUCCAUAGGCCUAUAUUGCAGUAGUGGGUCUGUGGUUUUCUGUAAAACAAAAUGGUUCUUUGGUUCUGGUCAGUUAAGAUAAUCAGAAAUACUAUGUAACAUCCCCACUUUUAGAACCGACUAAAAAGACAUGCUCACAUGCAAACAAAAGACAAUAAUUAAAUUGACCAAACAAUUUUAAAAAAUGACAAAAUCAUAAAUGUUAUGAGAUAAAACAACUUGUUGAUCAAGUUUAGCAAUUUGAAUUAAAAUGACCAUAAAUCAACAUUGUAGAUGAUAAAAGAUUUGUGUAAAGUUUAAGAUUUAC
RNAcentral lists this long non-coding RNA (617 nucleotides) under Salmo salar (Atlantic salmon). RNAcentral's name for it is "lncRNA (ENSSSAG00000100052.1)". Lineage: Eukaryota; Metazoa; Chordata; Actinopteri; Salmoniformes; Salmonidae. The record is from RNAcentral.